UUCUGUUGUAUAUAUUUGUUUUGCUGUAUAGUAUUUGUUUUUCUGUUGUAUAGUAUUUGUUUUGCUGUUCUUAAUUUAUGAAUUCCCUGUGCGGCGUCCUUGAGUGCCAUGAAAGGCGUCUUUAAAUAAAAUGUAUUAUUAUUAUUAUUAUUAAGUGUGAUAAUGGGUAAGUAACAGGAGUAAUGCUCACACUGUUAACUGUUGCAUUUGGUUAUAAUAACAUGUUGUACACACAGCAUUUAAAGAGAACAGACUGGUGGUUUGACAAGGUUAAACUUAUUAAACCCAAACAGAGUGGUAAACCUUCAAGCGAGUCUUGGUAACUUGUGAUGAACACUGUGGCCCCAGGUCACAAUUACAGGACAAAGGGAAAUGCUAAAAGCUAGCAAGUAUAGAUGAUGUAUGAAGUCAAUAAACUGAAGUAGUAUUGUUAAUUACCAGAAAUAUCUACCUAUAUAACUGUGUUCCCCUCAUUCUCCAUUAAUUACCCUUGUGUAAGACUGAUAUAUGACCGUGACCAACUUCUUCCUCUCCCUCCCACUGUAAAUACUUAAUAUUUUCUGUUAAAAACAAGCAACAUUUAUAUUUAUGUUAGUAACAUAAGUCAUGGUGAAAAGUAAACAAAACAUUUCAUUUAUACAGCAGGAAGAACCAGCUCUCCUCCUCCACUGGACCCACGACAUCCACCGGUCACCCCUGAGACUGGAGCCGACAGUGUGGCGGUGUGGCCGGUGCCGGCAACCGGAUCCUCCGGUGCCUUCGGAGGAGUUGGUGUCGUGGGUCCAGUGUGACAAGCUGGGGGUAGGAGGAGCUAACUAAUGAUGAAUUUUGGUGUUUUUGGUGCUCAGAUAUUUAAUUUGAUAUUUUUUUAUGUAAUUUGUUUUUUUAUUAUUUAUUUUUAAAAUGUUUUGCCUGUUUUUUAUUGUUAUUAAAUAAUUAUUUGUAUAAUCUUUUCAAUCAUUUUUGAACACUUUUUUUUUUCUGUAAAUCUUACACACUUUUUGUAAAGGUAUUUUAGAACACAUGUGUGUGUGUGUGUAUAUAUAUAUAUAUAUAUAUAUAUAUAGCUUGUUUUCAUGCAAUUGUUGUAAAUGAGCAUUGGUAGUAAUUGGUAAUAGUAUUUUAUUGCAUAUAUCCCCGAAGGAAAACUUAUUAAAAUAAGCUAUAUAUAUAUAUGUAACUUAUGCGCCCAUUGUUUACAUUGAGGAAAUAGCGGUGUACGGUAAUGGCCAAGGGUAGCGUACGGCUAAAUCAGCGGUGUUAGCUUACUUUAGCCAACUCUUAUGAAGUAAAAGCUUAACUAAUUUGUUUAAACAAUAUACCGUUAGAAAGGUAAGAACUUAUACUUUAGUUUAAAACCAUUAAAUUAACUGAAAACAUUAAUGGAUUAAUUAUAUUCGUAUUUGAACAGAUAUGUUGAUAGAACUUUAGCCAGAAAGUGUCCGAACGUGGACACAGUUCCGUCAGCUGAUGUGAGUUUGCCUGUUUUUACCUAACUCAGAUCCACAAUGGAAACCCCCACUGCUGGGGGGGGAAAUCUCUUCUGGCUCGAGAAGCUGGAGGGAUUUCCUCAAUCAAUGCUGGCCUUACAUUUCGUGGAAAAGGAUUAUUUUUCGAAUCAAGCGUCUGUUAUUCUCGGCCUCGUCCUGGGCUGGGCUCUCCGUUCCUAUGGGCUGUUUGACAGCAAUAUCCCAACGCUACGUCUGCUUUCAAGGAGAAAUGUUCAUGUGGACGCUUAAGUGUGAUAAUGGGGGUUUCUGGUGUGAGCUUUCCCUCUUCAAAAAAAAUCACUCUGUGUACUGCAGCGUAUAUGAUCUGCAGUACAUUUACAGCUGUGAUGAUAGGGAUAACCCUGGUAUUGUUAAUCCACCCGGGAACUGCUUUUGGGGAUAAUAGAACAAGUGAAGACAAAGAUCACGACUUCUCCACUGCUGAU
Etheostoma spectabile (orangethroat darter) is the source of this 1936-nucleotide long non-coding RNA. RefSeq lists it as uncharacterized. NCBI's taxonomy places the organism in Eukaryota, Metazoa, Chordata, Actinopteri, Perciformes, Percidae. The transcript has 5 exons. The record is from RefSeq and is a predicted model, not a curated record.